Molecule: ribosomal RNA, 468 nt
Filed under: uncultured bacterium
Lineage: Bacteria
Description: partial 16S ribosomal RNA
Rfam family: Bacterial small subunit ribosomal RNA
Source: RNAcentral
GACGAACGCUGGCGGCGUGCUUAACACAUGCAAGUCGAACGGUGAUGCUCCAGCUUGCUGGAGUGGACCAGUGGCGAACGGGUGAGUAACACGUGAGCAACCUGCCCCAGACUCUGGAAGAAGCGCUGGAAACGGCGGCUAAUACUGGAUACGAAACUGGCCCGCAUGGGCAUGGUUUGGAAAGGUGUUCGGUUUUGGAUGGGAUGGCGGCCUAUCAGCUUGUUGGUGAGGUAGUGGCGGACCAGGGGGACGACGGGUAGCCGGCCUGAGAGGGCGACCGGCCACAAGGGGACUGAGGCAGGGCGCAGACUCGUACGUGCGGCAGCAGUGGGAAGUAUUGCACAGUGGGCGAGAGUCUGAUGCAGCGACGCCGGGUGAGGAAUGACGGCCUUCGGGUGGUAAACCUCUGUCAGCAGGGAAGAAGCGAAAGUGACGGUACCUGAAGAAGAAGCACCGGCUAACUACGUG